Molecule: ribosomal RNA, 1369 nt
Filed under: uncultured bacterium
Lineage: Bacteria
Description: bacterial SSU rRNA
Rfam family: Bacterial small subunit ribosomal RNA
Source: RNAcentral
GACGAACGCUGGCGGCGUGCCUAAUACAUGCAAGUAGAACGCUGAAGAGAGGAGCUUGCUCUUCUUGGAUGAGUUGCGAACGGGUGAGUAACGCGUAGGUAACCUGCCUUGUAGCGGGGGAUAACUAUUGGAAACGAUAGCUAAUACCGCAUAACAAUGGAUGACACAUGUCAUUUAUUUGAAAGGGGCAAUUGCUCCACUACAAGAUGGACCUGCGUUGUAUUAGCUAGUAGGUGAGGUAAUGGCUCACCUAGGCGACGAUACAUAGCCGACCUGAGAGGGUGAUCGGCCACACUGGGACUGAGACACGGCCCAGACUCCUACGGGAGGCAGCAGUAGGGAAUCUUCGGCAAUGGGGGCAACCCUGACCGAGCAACGCCGCGUGAGUGAAGAAGGUUUUCGGAUCGUAAAGCUCUGUUGUAAGUCAAGAACGGGUGUGAGAGUGGAAAGUUCACACUGUGACGGUAGCUUACCAGAAAGGGACGGCUAACUACGUGCCAGCAGCCGCGGUAAUACGUAGGUCCCGAGCGUUGUCCGGAUUUAUUGGGCGUAAAGCGAGCGCAGGCGGUUUGAUAAGUCUGAAGUUAAAGGCUGUGGCUCAACCAUAGUUCGCUUUGGAAACUGUCAAACUUGAGUGCAGAAGGGGAGAGUGGAAUUCCAUGUGUAGCGGUGAAAUGCGUAGAUAUAUGGAGGAACACCGAUGGCGAAAGCGGCUCUCUGGUCUGUAACUGACGCUGAGGCUCGAAAGCGUGGGGAGCGAACAGGAUUAGAUACCCUGGUAGUCCACGCCGUAAACGAUGAGUGCUAGGUGUUGGAUCCUUUCCGGGAUUCAGUGCCGCAGCUAACGCAUUAAGCACUCCGCCUGGGGAGUACGACCGCAAGGUUGAAACUCAAAGGAAUUGACGGGGGCCCGCACAAGCGGUGGAGCAUGUGGUUUAAUUCGAAGCAACGCGAAGAACCUUACCAGGUCUUGACAUCCCGAUGCUAUUUCCAGAGAUAGAAAGUUACUUCGGUACAUCGGUGACAGGUGGUGCAUGGUUGUCGUCAGCUCGUGUCGUGAGAUGUUGGGUUAAGUCCCGCAACGAGCGCAACCCCUAUUGUUAGUUGCCAUCAUUCAGUUGGGCACUCUAGCGAGACUGCCGGUAAUAAACCGGAGGAAGGUGGGGAUGACGUCAAAUCAUCAUGCCCCUUAUGACCUGGGCUACACACGUGCUACAAUGGUUGGUACAACGAGUUGCGAGUCGGUGACGGCGAGCUAAUCUCUUAAAGCCAAUCUCAGUUCGGAUUGUAGGCUGCAACUCGCCUACAUGAAGUCGGAAUCGCUAGUAAUCGCGGAUCAGCACGCCGCGGUGAAUACGUUCCCGGGCCU